This 89-nucleotide transfer RNA is filed under the name Desulfomonilaceae bacterium. RNAcentral describes it as "tRNA-Ser". It matches the Rfam family "tRNA". Rfam says of the family: Transfer RNA (tRNA) molecules are approximately 80 nucleotides in length. The record is from RNAcentral. Lineage: Bacteria; Pseudomonadati; Thermodesulfobacteriota; Desulfomonilia; Desulfomonilales; Desulfomonilaceae.
GGAGAGAUGCCCGAGAGGUCGAAGGGGGUUGACUCGAAAUCAACUGUACGCUCGUCGUACCGGGGGUUCGAAUCCCUCUCUCUCCGCCA